AUCGCAGAUGCUUUCAGGGCCAGCAGGACAGGACCUGCCCUCUGCUCUGCAGCAAUUGCUGUGUCAGCAAAACUUUCUGGAUUGGGCUGUGCUUAGCAUGGUGAUGGGCAUCUCGUGUGUCCAUAGAGAGUUCUGACUUUGGUUAAAUCAGCAUCUCUGUUUUGGUAGUGCUUGUGAUGUGCCAUGUACCAAAAGAAGACAGUCUGAGGGUCGAGUCCAGGUGGGCAGGAUUUGCUGAGGUUAGUGGGAGGUACCAGAGGUUGAAAUUCAAGAUGCAGUCACAAAGUAUGAGAUGGGCUGAGAUAACCACAUCGGCAGAGGGGAUGGAUGUUAUGAGUGAUCAUGAGCACACUUCUUAAUGUACACUGAGGAUGUGCUCAGUCCAAGAAAAACAUCAUCAGCUCUGCCAAGGCAGAACUGGGAGAGGCAUCUUCCCAGAAGCUGAUCCCAAGUGAACAACUUCCUCCUUCCUGCGCAACCCAUCUAAGGCCACAGGUCUGGAUGCAAUUUAGUCCAAGCAGCCCUAAGCCCAGUGAGGAAGAAAAAAUAGGAAAGAUUUGAAAGCAGGAAUUACAUCCUCUCUGAGGAAAGUAGGAACGAUCUGCAAAGUUUACUGCACAACAAAUGAGAGCCAGUGGGUGAAGGCAAAGUGAGCCGGCUAUUUACAAAAUAUACUUGUUUGUUCUAAAGGCUGAAGUGGUGCUUCAGAGAGAUAUAAAAGGAGGGUGAGAAGCAGCAAUAAAGCAGGGCUGUUGUGCAAACCAGCAGUUGCCUUCCCACAGGAGCACUCCCAAGCCCUGCCGAUGCAAGACAUCAUUCUGUGCUGGAAGUGCUCUGUAAGGGCUGCAGGAGACUUUCCAGGCACCCACCCGUGUCUCGGUCUCAAUCUCUGUUUUCUCACUUAUGGAUCUCUAAGGAGAAGAUUCUGUUCUGGGUAUUAAGGGCUGUUUCUCCCUGCCAGCAAGCUAAAUGGUGCAGGGUAAGUGGUAAAUACCGAGGGAAGAAAGGCAAUUUAGUGCACGCACAGAGCUGGAAAUGCAAUGAUUCUUUGCAGAUAAAGAGGAUGCUCAUCUCAGUUGAAUCACUCUUGAUCCUAUGGAGUUACCCCACUUUAUGUCACUCUUCAGAGGAAUGA
RNAcentral lists this long non-coding RNA (1135 nucleotides) under Coturnix japonica (Japanese quail). Its description in RNAcentral is "lncRNA (ENSCJPG00005020829.1)". The record is from RNAcentral. Lineage: Eukaryota; Metazoa; Chordata; Aves; Galliformes; Phasianidae.